This 471-nucleotide ribosomal RNA is filed under the name Pseudomonas sp. oral taxon D11. RNAcentral's name for it is "bacterial SSU rRNA". It matches the Rfam family "Bacterial small subunit ribosomal RNA", at positions 30 to 495 of the family's 1533-position model. The record is from RNAcentral. Lineage: Bacteria; Pseudomonadati; Pseudomonadota; Gammaproteobacteria; Pseudomonadales; Pseudomonadaceae.
AUUGAACGCUGGCGGCAGGCCUAACACAUGCAAGUCGAGCGGUAGAGAGAAGCUUGCUUCUCUUGAGAGCGGCGGACGGGUGAGUAAUGCCUAGGAAUCUGCCUGGUAGUGGGGGAUAACGUUCGGAAACGGACGCUAAUACCGCAUACGUCCUACGGGAGAAAGCAGGGGACCUUCGGGCCUUGCGCUAUCAGAUGAGCCUAGGUCGGAUUAGCUAGUUGGUGGGGUAAUGGCUCACCAAGGCGACGAUCCGUAACUGGUCUGAGAGGAUGAUCAGUCACACUGGAACUGAGACACGGUCCAGACUCCUACGGGAGGCAGCAGUGGGGAAUAUUGGACAAUGGGCGAAAGCCUGAUCCAGCCAUGCCGCGUGUGUGAAGAAGGUCUUCGGAUUGUAAAGCACUUUAAGUUGGGAGGAAGGGCAGUAAAUUAAUACUUUGCUGUUUUGACGUACCGACAGAAUAAGCACCG